Molecule: ribosomal RNA, 560 nt
Filed under: Salmonella enterica subsp. diarizonae
Lineage: Bacteria; Pseudomonadati; Pseudomonadota; Gammaproteobacteria; Enterobacterales; Enterobacteriaceae
Description: partial 23S ribosomal RNA
Rfam family: Bacterial large subunit ribosomal RNA
Source: RNAcentral
GGGUUGUGAGGUUAAGCGACCAAGCGUACACGGUGGAUGCCCUGGCAGUCAGAGGCGAUGAAGGACGUGCUAAUCUGCGAAAAGCGCCGGUAAGGUGAUAUGAACCGUUAUAACCGGCGAUGUCCGAAUGGGGAAACCCAGUGUGACUCGUCACACUAUCAUUAACUGAAUCCAUAGGUUAAUGAGGCGAACCGGGGGAACUGAAACAUCUAAGUACCCCGAGGAAAAGAAAUCAACCGAGAUUCCCCCAGUAGCGGCGAGCGAACGGGGAGGAGCCCAGAGCCUGAAUCAGCAUGUGUGUUAGUGGAAGCGUCUGGAAAGGCGCGCGAUACAGGGUGAGAGCCCCGUACACAAAAGCGCACAUGCUGUGAGCUCGAUGAGUAGGGCGGGACACGUGGUAUCCUGUCUGAAUAUGGGGGGACCAUCCUCCAAGGCUAAAUACUCCUGACUGACCGAUAGUGAACCAGUACCGUGAGGGAAAGGCGAAAAGAACCCCGGCGAGGGGAGUGAAACAGAACCUGAAACCGUGUACGUACAAGCAGUGGGAGCCUCUCUUUAUG